CAUGUAGGCGGAUUGAUAAGUUUGAAGUGAAAUCCUAUAGCUUAACUAUAGAACUGCUUUGAAAACUGUUAAUCUAGAAUGUGGGAGAGGUAGAUGGAAUUUCUGGUGUAGGGUAAAAUCCGUAGAGAUCAGAAGGAAUACCGAUUGCGAAGGCGAUCUACUGGAACAUUAUUGACGCUGAGAUGCGAAAGCGUGGGGAGCAAACA
This 206-nucleotide ribosomal RNA is filed under the name uncultured bacterium. Its description in RNAcentral is "partial 16S ribosomal RNA". It matches the Rfam family "Bacterial small subunit ribosomal RNA", at positions 568 to 774 of the family's 1533-position model. The record is from RNAcentral.